Molecule: long non-coding RNA, 1692 nt
Organism: Lethenteron reissneri (Far Eastern brook lamprey)
Lineage: Eukaryota; Metazoa; Chordata; Hyperoartia; Petromyzontiformes; Petromyzontidae
Source: RefSeq, a predicted model, not a curated record
GGGUAUAAGAGUGGCGCUCGUGGUACGGACUUGCACGCACUGAACACAGCCGACCGGUCCGACAUCAACACACAGACACCCACUUAGCUAGAGCCGAGUCAAAAGUCUCAGAGCGAUGGCUUCAAUCCCAUCCGCGAACUCCCUCCUGGCUCGCAGAGAGUUCUACAGAAUACGAGCCGGAUCUGAUGCGAGCUCCUCCUCCUCCUCCGCUGGGUCUUGGGAUCAAGGCCCUUCAGAACGAUUUCCUCCUCCGCCAACCCCAGAUCUCCCUUCGGCGACCGCAGAGAAGCGCUGGUGGGAUAAAUAUUUCUUCUCAGCCGGAGCGACUCCCAUCAUCGCUGCCCAACACCAAGCUUGACGUCGCUCCCCAAAGCUGCAUCCCAGCCCAAGGGAAUCACAUGUGAAGAUGAUGGCACUGAUGCUGGAGAUGGUGGUGGUGGUGGUCGUGGCUGGUGGUGAUGAUGGUAGUCGUGGCGUCCUAUCUAGAGCCCAUCAACCAUCCGAAUGACUCACCUGCACAUACCCACGUUGUUUCAACUGUAUUUUUUUUUAUGCAAAGGACAAUGUAAGGGCAUGUAUGCAUAACUAGUCCGAUUACAUUGACUCAAGAUACACACGUGAAAUUUAAUGCAAAAGCAGAUUUUAUAACGAGUAUUUUUUACUUUGCAAUUUUAGGGAAAAGUGGUUUUACUUGCUUUCAUUAAAGGACAAGUAAUUGGACUAUUUAGUUUUUAAAAAAACUAUAAAUUAACACUUUUUAAAAAUAAAUAUACUCGUUCAACUGUUUGACUUAUGAAUGGACUUGUCCUGUCACGGCAAAUGUGGAUUUUCCACCACUGGCUGAGGGCCAUCCAAGUGCCUCGUUUGAACAUUGUAAUAUCAAUUCAACGUUUUAAGCAAGAGUUGGGCCAUGGCUCUUAACUGCUGCGUGUUAUUUUACUGAACGCACACUCAACCAUGCUGUGUGUGCAGACAUAUACUACUGGCUUAUCAGCUGCAUUAGUUUCAGCUGCCAGUUACUGAUGUGCAAUAUAUUUAGUGUAGAGCGUAAUCUCUGCUGCUGCACAUGUACAUGUGUUGUGUAAUGCUGUGCCUUUUUACAUUAUUUUUAAAUGAGCAGUGUUUAAGGUUAGGAAUAUAGUGUUAUGGUGACGGCUUUGGGUAGUGUUGAUUUAGGGUUUGUGUUCGUGUCAGGGUUAUGGUAAGGUGGUUAGUGAUAGCAUUCAGGUUUAGUGUUAGAAUAGGCGGUCGAGAUAUUACGGGAGGGUAAAUGUUAGUUUUUGGGUUCGUCAAUGUUAUGGUUCAUCUUAGCGUAUUAGAAGUCGGUGUUAGAGGUCAGGGUUAGAGGUCAGGUUUAGAGGUCAGGGUUAGUGUUGUCAAUUGUAUUCGUGCCACCUUUAGUGUUAUUGGGCAAGCAGCAGGGGUCGUGAACUUUGUGUGUCUAUCGUGGCUGUAAUUUUCAACGUCUGUCGUCCCGUGUUGACAUCGCUGAUGUAAAGUGACGUCGUUUGUUGAAGCUCUGCGAAACUUCCUGUGGAAGCCCGUGUGAGCCGUGAGCUCGGCUCUGUCGUGGAUGGAUGAUACCGUGUUUAUUGCUCUGCUUUGUAAAUAUAUACAUACAUACUUUUACACUUGACGAAUUGUACAUACCUUUUGCAACUAUCCUACCGAAUAAACAUUCAUUUUACAAAA